Molecule: long non-coding RNA, 1416 nt
Organism: Pseudoliparis swirei
Lineage: Eukaryota; Metazoa; Chordata; Actinopteri; Perciformes; Liparidae
Exons: 3
Source: RefSeq, a predicted model, not a curated record
AGGCAACACGAGGGUUAAACUGAUUUCCAGCCUGCACAGAGACUAAAAGUGGAUUCUCUGAAAGAAUACAGAUUUUCUUGAUUUUCCACCAUAUUAUGUGAGGACACAGGAUUUACAAGUUUCGUGAUAUUUUCAUGAAUACCUGAUGCUUUGAUCACUUUUCUGCCUCAAAGCUGUAUGUUCAUUUUUUUUCAUGCUCCCUCCCGUUGCCCUCGGGUCAAUCUGACCCUCGUAACUGUAGAUACACGUACAUAUGUGAAUUACAAGCCUCUACCCCUGUCCUCUGGGUCAAAAAGACCCAGCUCUGGGUCAGAGUGACCCAGGUCUGGGUCAGAGUGACCCCGGCGUGUAUCCGUACUCUGGGUCAGAAAGACCCGAGUUGAAUCCCACGUGCCCCUCCCGUUGUCCUCGGGUCAAUCUGACCCGCGUAACUGUAUAUACACGUACAUGUGUGAAUUAUAAGCCUCUACCCCUGUCCUCUGGGUCAAAAAGACCCAGCUCUGGGUCAGAGUGACCCAGGUCUGGGUCAGAGUGACCCCGGCGCGUAUCCGCGCCCUGGGUCAGAAAGACCCGAGUUGCAUCCCACGUGCCUACGUUCUUUGGGUCAGAGUGUGUGUGUGUGUGUGUGUGUGUGUGUGUGUGUGUGUGUGUGGUUGUGUGUGUGUGUGUGUGCGCGCAAGGCUCCAGUUUGACCCCAGGACGCAGGGUGUAUGCUUUCUGAGUAAAGGCAACACGAGGGUUAAGGUAAAAUAAAUGUACGACAAUGUCAUAAAUGACACUUUUACUAACUGUCAAUUUUCAUUAUUUUCUCCUUUUCAUAUUGUGUCAGCAGGAACAAGGACUUUGCAGCAGGACAACACAAUUAUCUUUCUGUUGGUUGUUGUUGCUUUGGCUGCAAGUCUGAUUGUUAUUGCCAUUCUUAUUUAUUCAAUCAAGGAACUCAAGAAAAAAUCUUGUGGUGUUUGUGACGCCGCUGCUGUCCUGAAAACAAGUGGUGUUUCGACGGCCGGUGGUCAUCAGCAGAAUCAGCAGACAGAUGAGGAUUUAUUGGUUUAUUCUGCACCAAUCUUCUCCGUUAGAACAAAAGGCUCAAAUAAUUCAAAAACUGAGGAGGAAGAGAGUAUCUACACUGACGUCAGGAAUCUGGGGUUUGAUGAACAGUCCUAACACUGGGUUUUAUGUCUGCACCUUGUGGGAAGUUAAUUUCACCUCUUGACUUGGUAAAUAAUAAUUUUAUUUGGAUAAUUUGCAUGUAUUGUAUUUAUUUUAGGAUUGUAUUUAUCUGUUUUGUAAAAUAAAUGAAAAUAGUAUCAUAGCUAAGCUUUUAGAAAUACAUGUAUAUGUGCUCUAAUGAUCCCAUAUUUAUGAGUGUGUGUUUCAUUGUGAGCUGUUAUUAAAGUUGUUAUUUUUCUAUCA